UAAGCCCUGCUCAGAAGUCAAGAGCAGCAGCGCUGCCGCCUCCGAGCGGCCUUUCAAGACGCACUCGCUCCUUAUUCUUGUGUCUCGGCCUCUCUGGUCGCCCCGGGACAAAGCCCCCAGAGCCCGGCCGCUCCCUUCCCGCUAAAUCCCCUUCGGGGUCAAUGCUCUACCAGCACCGGGCCGCGCGCUUCUCCUGCCAGCCGUGUGGCUCUUAAAGAGCGCACCCCCCCCCACCUCCGCCCUGCGCGCUCCCCCCGACCCCCGCCUCCCCGCCCCUCUCCUCAGGAUCUAGCCCCCCACGCCGACGCCUUAGGUCCCUCCUGCCCCGAC
RNAcentral lists this long non-coding RNA (330 nucleotides) under Sus scrofa (pig). Its description in RNAcentral is "Six3os1 conserved region 4 (ENSSSCG00070001488.1)". It matches the Rfam family "Six3os1 conserved region 4". Lineage: Eukaryota; Metazoa; Chordata; Mammalia; Artiodactyla; Suidae. The record is from RNAcentral.